This 2903-nucleotide ribosomal RNA is filed under the name Salmonella enterica. RNAcentral's name for it is "bacterial LSU rRNA". It matches the Rfam family "Bacterial large subunit ribosomal RNA". The record is from RNAcentral. Lineage: Bacteria; Pseudomonadati; Pseudomonadota; Gammaproteobacteria; Enterobacterales; Enterobacteriaceae.
UUAAGCGACUAAGCGUACACGGUGGAUGCCCUGGCAGUCAGAGGCGAUGAAGGACGUGCUAAUCUGCGAUAAGCGCCGGUAAGGUGAUAUGAACCGUUAUAACCGGCGAUUUCCGAAUGGGGAAACCCAGUGUGACUCGUCACACUAUCAUUAACUGAAUCCAUAGGUUAAUGAGGCGAACCGGGGGAACUGAAACAUCUAAGUACCCCGAGGAAAAGAAAUCAACCGAGAUUCCCCCAGUAGCGGCGAGCGAACGGGGAGGAGCCCAGAGCCUGAAUCAGCAUGUGUGUUAGUGGAAGCGUCUGGAAAGGCGCGCGAUACAGGGUGACAGCCCCGUACACAAAAGCGCAUAUGCUGUGAGCUCGAUGAGUAGGGCGGGACACGUGGUAUCCUGUCUGAAUAUGGGGGGACCAUCCUCCAAGGCUAAAUACUCCUGACUGACCGAUAGUGAACCAGUACCGUGAGGGAAAGGCGAAAAGAACCCCGGCGAGGGGAGUGAAAAAGAACCUGAAACCGUGUACGUACAAGCAGUGGGAGCACCCUUUUGGGUGUGACUGCGUACCUUUUGUAUAAUGGGUCAGCGACUUAUAUUCUGUAGCAAGGUUAACCGAAUAGGGGAGCCGGAGGGAAACCGAGUCUUAAUUGGGCGUUAAGUUGCAGGGUAUAGACCCGAAACCCGGUGAUCUAGCCAUGGGCAGGUUGAAGGUUGGGUAACACUAACUGGAGGACCGAACCGACUAAUGUUGAAAAAUUAGCGGAUGACCUGUGGCUGGGGGUGAAAGGCCAAUCAAACCGGGAGAUAGCUGGUUCUCCCCGAAAGCUAUUUAGGUAGCGCCUCGUGAAUUCAUCUCCGGGGGUAGAGCACUGUUUCGGCUAGGGGGCCAUCCCGGCUUACCAACCCGAUGCAAACUGCGAAUACCGGAGAAUGUUAUCACGGGAGACACACGGCGGGUGCUAACGUCCGUCGUGAAGAGGGAAACAACCCAGACCGCCAGCUAAGGUCCCAAAGUCAUGGUUAAGUGGGAAACGAUGUGGGAAGGCCCAGACAGCCAGGAUGUUGGCUUAGAAGCAGCCAUCAUUUAAAGAAAGCGUAAUAGCUCACUGGUCGAGUCGGCCUGCGCGGAAGAUGUAACGGGGCUAAACCAUGCACCGAAGCUGCGGCAGCGACACUGUGUGUUGUUGGGUAGGGGAGCGUUCUGUAAGCCUGCGAAGGUGGCCUGUGAGGGUUGCUGGAGGUAUCAGAAGUGCGAAUGCUGACAUAAGUAACGAUAAAGCGGGUGAAAAGCCCGCUCGCCGGAAGACCAAGGGUUCCUGUCCAACGUUAAUCGGGGCAGGGUGAGUCGACCCCUAAGGCGAGGCCGAAAGGCGUAGUCGAUGGGAAACGGGUUAAUAUUCCCGUACUUGGUGUUACUGCGAAGGGGGGACGGAGAAGGCUAUGUUGGCCGGGCGACGGUUGUCCCGGUUUAAGCGUGUAGGUGUGUGUUCCAGGUAAAUCCGGUUCACUUUAACACUGAGGCGUGAUGACGAGGCACUACGGUGCUGAAGCAACAAAUGCCCUGCUUCCAGGAAAAGCCUCUAAGCAUCAGGUAACAUCAAAUCGUACCCCAAACCGACACAGGUGGUCAGGUAGAGAAUACCAAGGCGCUUGAGAGAACUCGGGUGAAGGAACUAGGCAAAAUGGUGCCGUAACUUCGGGAGAAGGCACGCUGACAUGUAGGUGAAGUGAUUUACUCAUGGAGCUGAAGUCAGUCGAAGAUACCAGCUGGCUGCAACUGUUUAUUAAAAACACAGCACUGUGCAAACACGAAAGUGGACGUAUACGGUGUGACGCCUGCCCGGUGCCGGAAGGUUAAUUGAUGGGGUCAGCGCAAGCGAAGCUCCUGAUCGAAGCCCCGGUAAACGGCGGCCGUAACUAUAACGGUCCUAAGGUAGCGAAAUUCCUUGUCGGGUAAGUUCCGACCUGCACGAAUGGCGUAAUGAUGGCCAGGCUGUCUCCACCCGAGACUCAGUGAAAUUGAACUCGCUGUGAAGAUGCAGUGUACCCGCGGCAAGACGGAAAGACCCCGUGAACCUUUACUAUAGCUUGACACUGAACAUUGAGCCUUGAUGUGUAGGAUAGGUGGGAGGCUUUGAAGUGUGGACGCCAGUCUGCAUGGAGCCGACCUUGAAAUACCACCCUUUAAUGUUUGAUGUUCUAACGUGGACCCGUGAUCCGGGUUGCGGACAGUGUCUGGUGGGUAGUUUGACUGGGGCGGUCUCCUCCUAAAGAGUAACGGAGGAGCACGAAGGUUGGCUAAUCCUGGUCGGACAUCAGGAGGUUAGUGCAAUGGCAUAAGCCAGCUUGACUGCGAGCGUGACGGCGCGAGCAGGUGCGAAAGCAGGUCAUAGUGAUCCGGUGGUUCUGAAUGGAAGGGCCAUCGCUCAACGGAUAAAAGGUACUCCGGGGAUAACAGGCUGAUACCGCCCAAGAGUUCAUAUCGACGGCGGUGUUUGGCACCUCGAUGUCGGCUCAUCACAUCCUGGGGCUGAAGUAGGUCCCAAGGGUAUGGCUGUUCGCCAUUUAAAGUGGUACGCGAGCUGGGUUUAGAACGUCGUGAGACAGUUCGGUCCCUAUCUGCCGUGGGCGCUGGAGAACUGAGGGGGGCUGCUCCUAGUACGAGAGGACCGGAGUGGACGCAUCACUGGUGUUCGGGUUGUCAUGCCAAUGGCACUGCCCGGUAGCUAAAUGCGGAAGAGAUAAGUGCUGAAAGCAUCUAAGCACGAAACUUGCCCCGAGAUGAGUUCUCCCUGAGACUUUAAGUCUCCUGAAGGAACGUUGAAGACGACGACGUUGAUAGGCCGGGUGUGUAAGCGCAGCGAUGCGUUGAGCUAACCGGUACUAAUGAACCGUGAGGCUUAACCUU